Molecule: ribosomal RNA, 210 nt
Filed under: Triticum aestivum (bread wheat)
Lineage: Eukaryota; Viridiplantae; Streptophyta; Magnoliopsida; Poales; Poaceae
Description: partial small subunit ribosomal RNA
Source: RNAcentral
AUGGAGCAUCGUCGGGCCGUUGGAAAAUCGGCGGUGCUGCAACAGAGCAUCUUCGGCCAUCGGAGCAUUGCCGGUGCUGCGGUGGAGCAUCGCCGAGCCGCCGAAGGAUCGCUUUGCUGGUGCUGCGAUGGAGCAUCGUCGAGCCGUCGGAGGAUCAUCGGAGCAUCGCCGAGCCGCCGGAGGAUCGUCGGAGCAUCGCCGGCGCUGUGA